This 266-nucleotide ribosomal RNA is filed under the name uncultured bacterium. RNAcentral's name for it is "partial 16S ribosomal RNA". It matches the Rfam family "Bacterial small subunit ribosomal RNA", at positions 793 to 1055 of the family's 1533-position model. The record is from RNAcentral.
GUCCAUGCCGUAAACGAUGUCUACUAGCCGUUGGGGCCUUUGAGUCUUUAGUGGCGCAGCUAACGCGAUAAGUAGACCGCCUGGGGGAGUACGGUCGCAAGACUAAAACUCAAAUGAAUUGACGGGGGGCCCGCACAAGCGGUGGAGCAUGUGGUUUAAUUCGAUGCAACGCGAAGAACCUUACCUGGCCUUGACAUAGUAGAAACUUUCCAGAGAUGGGAUUGGUGCCUUCGGGAAUCUACAUACAGGUGCUGCAUGGCUGUCGU